GUUGAGGGGAAUGUUGGCUGGCUCGAGGCUUUCAGUUUCAGGGGUAGCUCUCUGAAGAGAGGUGAAGGCGUCGGACCAGGCUUCAUUCCCCUCAAC
This 96-nucleotide microRNA precursor is filed under the name Nelumbo nucifera (sacred lotus). RNAcentral's name for it is "mir-166 microRNA precursor family". It matches the Rfam family "mir-166 microRNA precursor family". Rfam says of the family: This family represents the plant microRNA (miRNA) precursor mir-166. Animal miRNAs are transcribed as ~70nt precursors and subsequently processed by the Dicer enzyme to give a ~22nt product. The record is from Rfam by way of RNAcentral. Lineage: Eukaryota; Viridiplantae; Streptophyta; Magnoliopsida; Proteales; Nelumbonaceae.